This 321-nucleotide RNase P RNA is filed under the name Halobacteriales archaeon QH_6_64_20. Its description in RNAcentral is "RNase P RNA component". It matches the Rfam family "Archaeal RNase P". Rfam says of the family: Ribonuclease P (RNase P) is a ubiquitous endoribonuclease, found in archaea, bacteria and eukarya as well as chloroplasts and mitochondria. Its best characterised activity is the generation of mature 5'-ends of tRNAs by cleaving the 5'-leader elements of precursor-tRNAs. Lineage: Archaea; Methanobacteriati; Methanobacteriota; Halobacteria; Halobacteriales. The record is from RNAcentral.
GGCAGAGGGAGCCCGGCUCCCGUGUCCUGCGGGCUUCGGCCCGUUCGGGACACGAGGAAAGUCCCCCCACCGUCGGGCAGGUGACCGGGCGCAAGCCCGGAGCGGUCCGCUCGCGCGCGAACCCGAACCGAAGAAGACCGCGACGUUACCCGUCGCGGUCGAACAAGGAACGGAGAGGUAACCCACCGAGGCAUGGGGGGGGAGAACGGAUGGAACGGCGAAUCCUCACCGGUGCAAGUCCACACGAAAGGUAGCCCGGACACGAUGUGGACGCAGAGCCGAAUGCCGGGACGAACGGAAGGGGGCUUACUCCCCUCAGCC